This 253-nucleotide ribosomal RNA is filed under the name uncultured bacterium. RNAcentral's name for it is "partial 16S ribosomal RNA". It matches the Rfam family "Bacterial small subunit ribosomal RNA", at positions 524 to 776 of the family's 1533-position model. The record is from RNAcentral.
UACGUAGGGACCGAGCGUUAUCCGGAAUUAUUGGGCGUAAAGAGCUCGUAGGCGGUUUGUCGCGUCUGCCGUGAAAGUCCGGGGCUCAACUCCGGAUCUGCGGUGGGUACGGGCAGACUAGAGUGAUGUAGGGGAGACUGGAAUUCCUGGUGUAGCGGUGAAAUGCGCAGAUAUCAGGAGGAACACCGAUGGCGAAGGCAGGUCUCUGGGCAUUAACUGACGCUGAGGAGCGAAAGCAUGGGGAGCGAACAGG